UGCGUAGGCGGCAUAUUAAGUCUACUGUAAAAUAUCUCGGCCUAACCGAGAAAGCGCAGUGGAUACUGGUAAGCUAGAGGAUGGAAGAGAGAAGUGGAAUUCUCGGAGUAGCGGUAAAAUGCGUAGAUCUCGAGAGGAACACCGAUGGCGAAAGCAGCUUCUUGGUCCAAUCCUGACGCUGAUGACAAGACGUGGGGAGCGAAACAG
This 207-nucleotide ribosomal RNA is filed under the name uncultured bacterium. RNAcentral's name for it is "partial 16S ribosomal RNA". It matches the Rfam family "Bacterial small subunit ribosomal RNA", at positions 568 to 776 of the family's 1533-position model. The record is from RNAcentral.